CCUACGGGCGGCAGCAGUAGGGAAUCUUCCACAAUGGGCGAAAGCCUGAUGGAGCAACGCCGCGUGGGUGAAGAAGGUCUUCGGAUCGUAAAACCCUGUUGUUAGAGAAGAAAGUGCGUGAGAGUAACUGUUCACGUUUCGACGGUAUCUAACCAGAAAGCCACGGCUAACUACGUGCCAGCAGCCGCGGUAAUACGUAGGUGGCAAGCGUUAUCCGGAUUUAUUGGGCGUAAAGGGAACGCAGGCGGUCUUUUAAGUCUGAUGUGAAAGCCUUCGGCUUAACCGGAGUAGGGCAUUGGAAACUGGGAGACUGGAGUGCAGAAGAGGAGAGUGGAACUCCAUGUGUAGCGGUGAAAUGCGUAGAUAUAUGGAAGAACACCAGUGGCGAAAGCGGCUCUCUGGUCUGUAACUGACGCUGAGGUUCGAAAGCGUGGGUAGCAAACAGGAUUAGAUACCCGAGUAGUC
RNAcentral lists this ribosomal RNA (465 nucleotides) under uncultured bacterium. RNAcentral's name for it is "partial 16S ribosomal RNA". It matches the Rfam family "Bacterial small subunit ribosomal RNA", at positions 338 to 795 of the family's 1533-position model. The record is from RNAcentral.